RNAcentral lists this long non-coding RNA (319 nucleotides) under Brassica napus (rape). RNAcentral describes it as "long non-coding RNA (BNAP_LNC015510)". Lineage: Eukaryota; Viridiplantae; Streptophyta; Magnoliopsida; Brassicales; Brassicaceae. The record is from RNAcentral.
UUUUUUUUAACUUUCUUUUAUCAUGUAUUAUUUGAAUAUAUUUUCAUUUAAUGGUGAAGUUUACAUAACGGUGGGUGUAGCUUACAUCCCUAAUACUAUCUUAUGUCACACGUAUAACCAAUGCUUUAGAAAAGAACUCCUACAUGCAUUAAUCCUGUUAUCUCCUAUAACAUGCACACUUGUAAACGCGUGCUUAUAUAAUUGGAUCUUACCGGGGACAUUAACAAUGUGGCAGUCUGCAUGAUGAAGGCCUUUAAAGAUCUGGCAAUCUGCAUGAGUUGAAAUUUUGGUAAAAUAUCUUUGUCAAGCGUAUUCAUUU